UCCCUGGUGGCUCAGAUGGUAAAGCAUCUGCCUGCAAUGCGGAAGACCCGGGUUCAAUCCCUGGGUCGGGAA
This 72-nucleotide transfer RNA is filed under the name Bos taurus (domestic cattle). It matches the Rfam family "tRNA". From Rfam's summary of the family: Transfer RNA (tRNA) molecules are approximately 80 nucleotides in length. Their secondary structure includes four short double-helical elements and three loops (D, anti-codon, and T loops). Further hydrogen bonds mediate the characteristic L-shaped molecular structure. tRNAs have two regions of fundamental functional importance: the anti-codon, which is responsible for specific mRNA codon recognition, and the 3' end, to which the tRNAs corresponding amino acid is attached (by aminoacyl-tRNA synthetases). tRNAs cope with the degeneracy of the genetic code in two manners: having more than one tRNA (with a specific anti-codon) for a particular amino acid; and 'wobble' base-pairing, i.e. permitting non-standard base-pairing at the 3rd anti-codon position. Lineage: Eukaryota; Metazoa; Chordata; Mammalia; Artiodactyla; Bovidae. RNAcentral also lists the same sequence under 1 other name. The record is from Rfam by way of RNAcentral.